GAUCCUGGCUCAGGAUGAACGCUGGCGGCGUGCCUAACACAUGCAAGUCGAGCGAAGUGAUUUAGCGGAAGUUUUCGGAUGGAAGUUGGAUUGACUGAGCGGCGGACGGGUGAGUAACGCGUGGGUAACCUGCCUCAUACAGGGGGAUAACAGUUAGAAAUGACUGCUAAUACCGCAUAAGCGCACAGCAUCGCAUGAUGCAGUGUGAAAAACUCCGGUGGU
RNAcentral lists this ribosomal RNA (222 nucleotides) under uncultured bacterium. RNAcentral's name for it is "partial 16S ribosomal RNA". It matches the Rfam family "Bacterial small subunit ribosomal RNA", at positions 15 to 219 of the family's 1533-position model. The record is from RNAcentral.